RNAcentral lists this transfer RNA (102 nucleotides) under Lachancea thermotolerans CBS 6340. It matches the Rfam family "tRNA". Rfam says of the family: Transfer RNA (tRNA) molecules are approximately 80 nucleotides in length. Their secondary structure includes four short double-helical elements and three loops (D, anti-codon, and T loops). Lineage: Eukaryota; Fungi; Ascomycota; Saccharomycetes; Saccharomycetales; Saccharomycetaceae. The record is from Rfam by way of RNAcentral.
GAAGCGGUGGCUCAAUGGUAGAGCUUUCGACUCCAGUUAAAUCCUGGUUAUGAAGGAAAAAUUGCAAUCGAAGGGUUGCAGGUUCAAUUCCUGUCCGUUUCA